AGGUCGGUCGCCAAGUGGUAAGGCCUGCGCCUGAUAAGCGCAGAAUCGUGGGUUCGAUUCCCACCCGACCUACUA
RNAcentral lists this transfer RNA (75 nucleotides) under Gemmata massiliana. It matches the Rfam family "tRNA". From Rfam's summary of the family: Transfer RNA (tRNA) molecules are approximately 80 nucleotides in length. Their secondary structure includes four short double-helical elements and three loops (D, anti-codon, and T loops). Lineage: Bacteria; Pseudomonadati; Planctomycetota; Planctomycetia; Gemmatales; Gemmataceae. The record is from RNAcentral.